Long non-coding RNA from Sabethes cyaneus, 318 nucleotides. RefSeq lists it as uncharacterized. The record is from RefSeq and is a predicted model, not a curated record. The transcript has 3 exons. Lineage: Eukaryota; Metazoa; Arthropoda; Insecta; Diptera; Culicidae.
UUUGUCUAUCAAAGAAUCGCUGCGAAUUGGGGUUAAAUCAUAUCGUACCGAUUCUGCCGGUGGUUCAACCAAAUUUGAUUUAGAAAUAGUUAGCUAGUAGGGUGCAAUCUGGUGUACGUUGGCAGUCAUCAUAUUCGGUGCAGUGGCAGUGAUUUCAUGUUGGAUAAAAAGAUGCAGAACUGUAAAGAUUGCGAUAAUGCGUUUUCCCCUUGAAGCAGUAAUGGAGGCGGAGCGUUUUUUGUUCUUUUUCGUCUUAUUGCGCUGUAAUAGAUUGAAAUAUACUAAACGGUACUAAUAAUCAAGUGGGUAAACUAACAA